This 66-nucleotide transfer RNA is filed under the name Apriona swainsoni. Its description in RNAcentral is "tRNA-Trp". The record is from RNAcentral. Lineage: Eukaryota; Metazoa; Arthropoda; Insecta; Coleoptera; Cerambycidae. RNAcentral also lists the same sequence under 2 other names.
AAGGAUUUAAGUUAGGCAAACUAUCAACCUUCAAAGUUGAAAUCAGAGUUAUUAUUCUAAGCCUUA